RNAcentral lists this ribosomal RNA (251 nucleotides) under uncultured bacterium. RNAcentral's name for it is "partial 16S ribosomal RNA". It matches the Rfam family "Bacterial small subunit ribosomal RNA", at positions 107 to 354 of the family's 1533-position model. The record is from RNAcentral.
UGAGUAACGCGUAUGCGACCUGCCCGUUGCAGGGGGAUAAUCGGGAGAAAUCCCGUCUAAUACCGCGUAACGCCGCGGGGCUGCAUGGCCCUGCGGCCAAAGGGAGCGAUUCCGGCAACGGAUGGGCAUGCGUGACAUUAGCUAGUUGGCGGGGCAACGGCCCACCAAGGCGACGAUCAGUAGCCGGACUGAGAGGUUGGCCGGCCACAUUGGGACUGAGACACGGCCCAGACUCCUACGGAAGGCAGCAG